Molecule: long non-coding RNA, 958 nt
Organism: Chinchilla lanigera (long-tailed chinchilla)
Lineage: Eukaryota; Metazoa; Chordata; Mammalia; Rodentia; Chinchillidae
Exons: 4
Source: RefSeq, a predicted model, not a curated record
GCUACAAAGUGAGCUCAAGGCCAGCCUGAACUGCAUAGCGAGACCCUGUCUCAAAAAGACCAAAGCGGGGGUAAAAGGACCUCCUUAGCUUUUCCUUCUACCUACAAAUCUGUCUGUCAGUAUCUGGAUCCGUGCGCACUUAUUUUCUUCCACCACCAAGGGAAAACUGUCUCUUAAUUAAAGCUUGGCUCUAUACUCAUAUUGUACACGUGGUUUUUGGAGGAUCUGUAGACCAUCAGCAUAGAAAGCAACUUAGAAACUGAUGCAGAACUGCUAAAUUUUUAAUCCUAACAAAAGAACUACAUAUUUGUAAAGUCCUCUUAUCUCUUAUCAGCAUGAUUCCCUAAUAGAAGUGCAUCUUCAACACCAAAGACUAAACUUGAAAACUUUUUAUUUGCUUUCCCUGUGGAGAACUGAAGCCGUCACAGCCCUUGUGCAUUUCAGACCUCUUCUCAGAACUUAUCCCCUGAGAACUCUGCUCUGCUGGGAUUGCAGGCGUGCGCCACCACACCUGGCUGUCUACUCACCCUUAAACUUGCUGCGCUUUGGUUGAUGUCACGACUACACCACUGAAACUGUUCCUGGAAAGGGUCAUUAGUGACCUCGCAUCUGUCAAGUACAGCGCGCUCUUUACCGUCCUUCACAAACAGUUGUCUUCUGUUGAGUGCCUACUGUGUGCAGGCUGUAUGCUAAGCACUGAUGCACCAUUUCACAACCCCCCCAUGUGUCACCCGUGUGAUGUGGAAGGCAAGGACUGAAACAUACCACCCAUCCUAGGAAUGAACCCUGCUUGAAACUAUUCAAGGAGACUGAAAUGACCAGGCAGCAGCUGGGAGCUGCAAACUUCCAGUGUCCCCUGACAGGAGCAUUUUCCCUCAUUGUCUUGGAUUGACAACUGGUGGUCAACUUGUGACACCAGCUGAACUUAACCAGCGUGGUGCCUGGUGUGGGAGCCCAC